Molecule: ribosomal RNA, 484 nt
Filed under: uncultured bacterium
Lineage: Bacteria
Description: partial 16S ribosomal RNA
Rfam family: Bacterial small subunit ribosomal RNA
Source: RNAcentral
AUUGAACGCUGGCGGCAUGCUUUACACAUGCAAGUCGAACGGCAGCGCGGGCUUCGGCCUGGCGGCGAGUGGCGAACGGGUGAGUAAUGCAUCGGAACGUGCCCAGUCGUGGGGGAUAGCCCAGCGAAAGCCGGAUUAAUACCGCAUACGACCUGAGGGUGAAAGCGGGGGACCGAAAGGCCUCGCGCUAUUGGAGCGGCCGAUGUCGGAUUAGCUAGUUGGUGGGGUAAAGGCUUACCAAGGCGACGAUCCGUAGCUGGUCUGAGAGGACGACCAGCCACACUGGGACUGAGACACGGCCCAGACUCCUACGGGAGGCAGCCGUGGGGAAUUUUGGACAAUGGGGGCAACCCUGAUCCAGCCAUGCCGCGUGCGGGAAGAAGGCCUUCGGGUUGUAAACCGCUUUUGUUCGGGAAGAAAUCCUCUGGGCUAAUACCCCGGGGGGAUGACGGUACCGGAAGAAUAAGCACCGGCUAACUACGUG